AUUGAACGCUGGCGGCAUGCUUUACACAUGCAAGUCGAACGGUAACAGGCCGCAAGGUGCUGACGAGUGGCGAACGGGUGAGUAAUGCAUCGGAACGUGCCCAGUCGUGGGGGAUAACUACUCGAAAGAGUAGCUAAUACCGCAUACGAUCUAUGGAUGAAAGCGGGGGACUGUAAGGCCUCGCGCGAUUGGAGCGGCCGAUGUCAGAUUAGGUAGUUGGUGGGGUAAAGGCUCACCAAGCCAACGAUCUGUAGCUGGUCUGAGAGGACGACCAGCCACACUGGGACUGAGACACGGCCCAGACUCCUGCGGGAGGCAGCAGUGGGGAAUGUUGGACAAUGGGCGCAAGCCUGAUCCAGCAAUGCCGCGUGCAGGAAGAAGGCCUGCGGGUUGUAAACUGCUUUUGUACGGAACGAAACGGCUCUGGUUAAUACCCGGGGCUAAUGACGGUACCGUAAGAAUAAGCACCGGCUAACUACGU
Molecule: ribosomal RNA, 481 nt
Filed under: uncultured bacterium
Lineage: Bacteria
Description: partial 16S ribosomal RNA
Rfam family: Bacterial small subunit ribosomal RNA
Source: RNAcentral